This 4279-nucleotide long non-coding RNA is filed under the name Equus caballus (horse). Its description in RNAcentral is "lncRNA (ENSECAG00000049661.1)". Lineage: Eukaryota; Metazoa; Chordata; Mammalia; Perissodactyla; Equidae. The record is from RNAcentral.
ACACUGUACUGGAAGUUUUAGCCAGUGCAAUAAGGCAAGAAGAGGAAAUAAAAGGCAUGCAGAUUAAAAAGGAAGUAAUAAAACCACCCCUGUGUAUACAUGACAUGGUUGUUUAUUUAGAAUGUCACAAGGAACCUACAAGAAAACUCACAGAACUAACAAAUGAGUUCAGCAAGAUUGCAGGAUGCAAGAUCAAUAUAAGAAAGUUAAUAUUUCUCUAUACUAGCAACAAACACACGGGCAUCAAAAUUAAAAAUACAACGCCAUUUUCAAUUACUCAAAAGAAAAACACUUACAUGUAAAUCUAACAAAACAAAUCUGACAAAAUCUAACAAAACAUAGACUUGUAUGAUAAAACUACACAAUGCUGAUGAAAGAAAUCAAAAAAGAUCUAAAUAAAUGGUGAGACAUACUAUGUUCAUACAUUGGAAGAUGCAACAUAGAAAGACGUCAAUUCUCCUCAAACUGAUGUAUGGGUCUAAGGCAAUUCCUCCAUCAAGAUUUUUUUGUAAAUAAAGACAAGAUUAUUCUACAAUUUACAUGGAUAGGCAAAGAAAUGAGAAUAGCUAAAACAACUUUGAGAAAGAAGAAUGAAGUGGGAGCAAUCAAGCCACACCAACUGAAGACUUAUUAUAUAACACGGUAACCAAGACUAUGUGAUACAGGCAGAGAGACAGACACAUAGAUCAACUGAACAGAAGAGAGAACCCAGAAAUAGACUCAUACCAAUAUAGCCAACUGAUUUUUUACAAAGAUACAAAAGCAAUUCACUGGAGGAAAGAUACCGCCUUUUCAACAAAUGGUGCUGUUAACAGUCAAAACUGGAAACAACCAAAUGUCCUUCAAAAGGCAAACAGUUAAAAGAACCAUAAAAGUACAUCCAUACUAUGAAAUACUACUCAGCAAUAAAAAGGAAGCAACUACUGAUUCAUGCCAACAACCUGGAUGAAUCUCUAGAGAAUUAUGCUGAGUGAAAAUAGCCAAUUCCAAAAGGUACUUACUGUAUGAUUCCAUUUAUAAAACAUGAUUGAAAUGACAAAAUUAUAGAAAUGGAGAACAGAUUACUGAUUGUCAGGGCUUAAGGAGGGGUGGAGGUGGGAGGGAUGCGGUUGUAGCUAUAAGAACAACAUGCAGAAACCUUGUGGUGAUGGAUCUAUUCUGGAUCUGGACUGUAUCAAUGACACUAUCAGGGGUCUGACACUGUUCUAUAGUUUUACAAGAUGAUACCACCGGGACCAAGUGGGUAAAGAGUGCAUGGGAUCUUUCUGAAUUAUUUCUUAUAACAACAUGUGGAUCUACUAUGAUGCCACAAAAAUAUUUUUAAAAAACUGGACCUUCACUCACUGUUCUAAGGUUCAUCACCCAACACUUCAGAAUGUACUUACCUUCUUAACAACUCUUUAUUAUCUUGGCUUUGUGCUGGGAUAAGUGAGGAUACACAGAUAAAGUGUAAAAUAUUAUUCCUACCCUCAAACACCACGAACUCAAGAAGAGUGACAAAUACAGGCAUAAAUCAACAGUGAAAGACUUGAUAAGGUAGAUGGGAUUUAAGCAAAUCCUGGAACAAGAGGUAGCAUUUCCAAAAGUGGAGGUAGAGAGGGGGACACCUUGGGAAGAAGAAAUCAUUUAUGGAUAAAGACAGGGCUAGAAAUAAGCACAGUGCCUCUGGAGAGAGAGAGAUGUGUAUGUUGUGAAAUAACAGAAAAAUGGGAUAAGCAGUGUGGGGGUAAUUAUGGAAGGUCACCAAAAGCCAGAGAGAGGAGUUCAAAUGUCACUUAUUCAGAGAAGCCUUCCUCACCAACCCAGCCAACCAAAAGUAGCAGCUCCCCCAACCCACAGUCUCUCCAGCAUCCACUACUUUUUCUUUAUAGCACUCAUCACAAGCUGUAAUUAUUACAUACUUAUCUGCAUGUUUAUUUGUUUAAUGCUGUCCCACCCCCAGUUAUCUUGAGUAUUUGGCACUGGGUGUGGCACACAGUAAGCACUCAGUAAAUAUUAACUGAAUAAAUGAACAAACAGUAAGUAUUCACCUAGUUCCCUUCUACGCAGCUGCCCCACUCUUCUUCCUCCAUCAUGUCACUCUAUUCACUUUGGUCCCUCUCUGACCUACUGCCUCUUUUAGCAAUCUCUCCUUUUUCCUUGUUCUUCCACCUCAGCCUAGCUCUUAACCUAUCAUAAAGAUUAAAACUCUAUAUUUUAAAACAGUGGUUCACAACUUCAAUGUUGUAACACUCUUUUGAAUUGCAACCAAUUAGGAACUGUAUCCCAAGAAAUCUGUUACUGAAAACAAAGUAUUAAAGUCGUAGGUUGUUAUACAAGCAUAAGAGAUGUAUAUAUUACAUAAACAAAUAAGAGCAGAAAUAAGAGUUCUCCCCCUCAUGGCCUUACUUUCCUGAAUAUGAGAGCCCUUUCUCAGAACCGGAUGACCCUAUCUGGUCUAUGGAAAGCUAUCCAUCAAAUUCAGCCAGGACUGUACUCCUCAAGGCCACCAAAGUUAUGAAAAACAAGAAAGACUGAGAAAUUACCAAAGACUAAGAAGACAUGACAGCUAAAUGUAAUGUGGUACCUUGGAUUGGAUCCUGGAACAGAAAGAGAAUAUUAAUGGAAAAACUGGUGAAAUGCAAAUAAAGUCUGGAAUUUAGCUUAAAAAAAAUAUAUAUAUAUAUAUGCAGCACUAACAUAUGAUCAAGAUUUAAAUUUAUUAAUAUUACUUUAUAUUAUUAAAAAGAGAAAGAGAUAGGGCACGCACGUGAGCCAAGAGUAAAACUCAGGCCAGGAUAACUGAGGUUUGGAGCUGAAAAGCUCAUUCAUUUUGACUCCAGUCCCGGGCUCUUACUUGAUGCCAUGAGAAUUACUUUGCCAGCAAUUGCUUGAGGUUAACGACCAGUUUUCACUUCUUACCAUGUUCACUCAUAUACUCAAUAAAUAUUUAUUGAGUGCCUACUGCUUACCAGGCACUGUGAAGUCUCUGGGGAUAGAUGGCUAGAAAAGGAAGACACAAUCUCGGCUCUCACAAAGCUUAUACUCUGUUGGAGAAGCCAGGCAUUUAACAAACAUUUGCAUAAACAGUGAGGGCUCCCAAGAGUUUUAGACCCUGCUUCUUAAAAGCUCUAUCUAACAAUCCAGCAGAACAUUCAUUUGUUAUCACUGGUUUUCUGAAUAAGGCCUUCAAUGUGAACACAAAUCACCUGAAACAGAUCUGUGAUUUAUGACCUGUGAUCUGUUAAAUCACUUUUAACAGAUAUUCAUUCAGUUGAUGUGUUUUGGGACCUGAGAUUCUGCAAUUCUUCCAAACUCCCAGAUGACAGCAAAGCUGCUGCUAGUUCACAAACCACACUUUGAGUUAACAAGGCACUGAAGUACUGUGGAAACACCCCUCAAACUAGCAUGUAAAAUGCAAGCUCCAUAAAGGCAAGGAUAUUUCGUCUCUUACAGCAUACCCAGGACUUAAAACGGUGCCUCGCAGACACAUGACACUCCAUAAAUAUUUAUUUACUGAAUAAAUAAAUGGAUGUAUGGUCUAGUCGAGGUCUGUUCAAUAGCCACUGGUCACAUUUGGCUACUGAACACUUGAAAUGUGGCUAUACAACUGAGCAGCUGAAUUUUUAAAAAUCUAAUUUUAACUAAUUUAAACAGCCACAUGUGGUUAGUGGCUACCACAACGGACAAUCCAGGUCUAGACACUGAUGUAAUGUAAAAAGCACUGGAUUAAUAAGACCUAGGUUUGAAUCCCAGCUCUGCUGCUUGGCUUGUGACCCGGAAAGUUACAACUUCUUAGGACGUGAACUACUUCAUCUGUGAAACGAGGACAAGACCCCCACCAUCACCACUGCCUCUGAGGGUUCCUGACAGAAAUUAUUAUGUCAAUGUAUUAAGCAUAACAUUCUCUGCCGCCAGAAACAGUUUACAACCACAAAGACUACUUUGCCUAUUGCUCACACUUGCCAGAAAACGUCAAGCACGUUCGGUUGAAGGGUUGGUUAGCUCAGUGGCUUUGAGAAUGAGGCCAAGGUCAUAAGUUUGGAGGAGAGGGGACCCUCACUUAGCAAGGCUGACCAGGUAAGAGAGGCAAUGACAAGGCAAAUCAUCACAAUUCCUGGCAAAUCUUUAAAUGGGCACUGUAUUGAUCAGGGAUGAGUAAAUGACAUUUCAUUCAUUCAUUCUUCCAAGAAGGGCUGCCACAUUACCUAAAGCCCCCUCCUUCCCCUCCACAGACAUUUGCUAAUUCAAGGCCGGUCCUCUUCGCGGGCAGUGGGCCGGGAAGCCCCCGCCCCGGGCC